This 858-nucleotide small RNA is filed under the name Pongo abelii (Sumatran orangutan). RNAcentral describes it as "retained intron". Lineage: Eukaryota; Metazoa; Chordata; Mammalia; Primates; Hominidae. The record is from RNAcentral.
AGGGUAGCUGGGAGUUGGAAGAGCCAAGAACGCCUCCGAGCUCUGGAUUUGAGCUUCUCUGCCCAUGGGUGCAGCAUCCAUGCUCAGCUUGUGAGCUUCUUCCCGGGAGAGCAGCCAUGGCACUGAGGAAUGUGCCCUUUCGCUCAGAGGUCCUGGGCUGGGACCCCGACAGCCUUGCUGACUAUUUCAAGAAGCUCAACUAUAAGGACUGUGAGAAGGCAGUGAAGAAGUACCACAUCGAUGGGGCUCGCUUCUUGAACCUGACAGAAAAUGACAUCCAGAAGUUCCCCAAGCUCCGGGUGCCGAUUCUCAGUAAGUUAAGUCAAGAAAUCAACAAGAACGAAGAGAGGAGGAGCAUCUUCACACGCAAACCCCAAGUCCCGCGGUUUCCUGAAGAGACAGAAAGCCACGAAGAGGACAAUGGGGGCUGGUCGUCCUUUGAAGAAGAUGACUAUGAAAGUCCGAAUGAUGACCAGGAUGAGGAGGAUGAUGGAGACUAUGAGUCCCCCAAUGAGGAGGAAGAGGCACCUGUGGAAGAUGACGCGGAUUAUGAGCCACCACCCUCCAAUGAUGAGGAAGCUCUGCAGAACUCCAUCCUGCCUGCCAAGCCUUUCCCCAACUCCAACUCCAUGUACAUCGGUAAGGGCCCAUUUCCAGAUUUUCUGGCCCAAGCAGCCCAAAGCCAAGCUCCCCACUGCUGCACGGAAGGCUGAUGCCCCAGCUUGCCCAUGUAGCAGAAAGCUCUGGGUCUCGAUACCUGCUCGGCUUCUUAACAGCUAUGUGGCUUUGUACAAGUAACUCUACCUCUCUGGGCCUCAAUUUCCUCAUCUGUGAAAUAGGAUAAUAAAUGUACAGACC